CAAAAAGAAGAAGAGGAAAGAAACAAUGACGUGAGAAAAAAGAGGAUGUAAGACGCUGCAGUACCUCUCAAACUCUUUGGUCUUUGUGCACUCCUGGGAACCCUUGCUGAUGACGAUGAGGAAGUCUUGUGUGUUUUUGGACCAAACAGUUCUGGGGACUCCCUAAAAGGAGCGGGUCACUAGGGACUUCCCCUGAGAGCUGCGUACGUUCAAGGGCUUUUUUCUGUUCAAGUUCACACCACCAACAGGAACACUGCUGUACACCAAUCCUGAAUGUAACUGUGUCUAUAUAAAAAGCACAUGGAAAAUGGUGUGGCAUUACCUGUGCGACUUCAUCUCUGGAGUUCCAUUUGACAGCGAGAAGGAUCUUGGGAAGGAUCUCUGGGAUGUUCAUACA
Lates calcarifer (barramundi perch) is the source of this 397-nucleotide long non-coding RNA. RefSeq lists it as uncharacterized. The record is from RefSeq and is a predicted model, not a curated record. Lineage: Eukaryota; Metazoa; Chordata; Actinopteri; Centropomidae. The transcript is spliced from 3 exons.